GAGGAACGCUGGCGGCGCGCCUAACACAUGCAAGUCGAACGAGCGAGAGAGAGCUUGCUUUUUAAGCUUAGUGGCGAACGGGUGAGUAACGCGUGAGUAACCUGCCCUAGAGUGGGGGACAACAGUUGGAAACGACUGCUAAUACCGCAUAAGCCCACGGUAUCGCAUGGUACUGAGGGAAAAGGAUUUAUUCGCUUUAGGAUGGACUCGCGUCCAAUUAGCUAGUUGGUGAGGUAACGGCCCACCAAGGCGACGAUUGGUAGCCGGACUGAGAGGUUGAACGGCCACAUUGGGACUGAGACACGGCCCAGACUCCUACGGGAGGCAGCAGUGGGGGAUAUUGCACAAUGGGGGAAACCCUGAUGCAGCGACGCCGCGUGGAGGAAGAAGGUUUUCGGAUUGUAAACUCCUGUCGUUAGGGACGAUAAUGACGGUACCUAACAAGAAAGCACCGGCUAACUACGUGCCAGCAGCCGCGGUAAAACGUAGGGUGCAAGCGUUGUCCGGAAUUACUGGGUGUAAAGGGAGCGCAGGCGGGAAGACAAGUUGGAAGUGAAAACCAUGGGCUCAACCCAUGAAUUGCUUUCAAAACUGUUUUUCUUGAGUAGUGCAGAGGUAGAUGGAAUUCCCGGUGUAGCGGUGGAAUGCGUAGAUAUCGGGAGGAACACCAGUGGCGAAGGCGGUCUACUGGGCACCAACUGACGCUGAGGCUCGAAAGCAUGGGUAGCAAACAGGAUUAGAUACCCUGGUAGUCCAUGCCGUAAA
RNAcentral lists this ribosomal RNA (765 nucleotides) under uncultured bacterium. Its description in RNAcentral is "bacterial SSU rRNA". It matches the Rfam family "Bacterial small subunit ribosomal RNA", at positions 28 to 806 of the family's 1533-position model. The record is from RNAcentral.